Molecule: ribosomal RNA, 497 nt
Filed under: uncultured bacterium
Lineage: Bacteria
Description: partial 16S ribosomal RNA
Rfam family: Bacterial small subunit ribosomal RNA
Source: RNAcentral
GAUGAACGCUGGCGGCGUGCCUAAUACAUGCAAGUCGAGCGAACAGACGAGGAGCUUGCUCCUCUGACGUUAGCGGCGGACAGGUGAGUAACACGUGGAUAACCUACCUAUAAGACUGGGAUAACUUCGGGAAACCGGAGCUAAUACCGGAUAAUAUAUUGAACCGCAUGGUUCAAUAGUGAAAGACGGUUUUGCUGUCACUUAUAGAUGGAUCCGCGCCGCAUUAGCUAGUUGGUAAGGUAACGGCUUACCAAGGCAACGAUGCGUAGCCGACCUGAGAGGGUGAUCGGCCACACUGGAACUGAGACACGGUCCAGACUCCUACGGGAGGCAGCAGUAGGGAAUCUUCCGCAAUGGGCGAAAGCUUGACGGAGCAACGCCGCGUGAGUGAUGAAGGUCUUCGGAUCGUAAAACUCUGUUAUUAGGGAAGAACAAAUGUGUAAGUAACUAUGCACGUCUUGACGGUACCUAAUCAGAAAGCCACGGCUAACUACGUG